This 906-nucleotide long non-coding RNA is filed under the name Homo sapiens (human). RNAcentral describes it as "non-protein coding lnc-PPM1D-1:12". The record is from RNAcentral. Lineage: Eukaryota; Metazoa; Chordata; Mammalia; Primates; Hominidae.
GCAGGUCUUGGGUGAGACCCAAUGCUAUGCUGGCUUCAUCUCUAACCCAGUCCAGUCAUAGUGGGGGUGGCCACAGAGGUACUUCUGUCACUCCACUCCCAGCUUUAUGUGGCUCAGAACAGAGAGAGAAAUUCCAUUUGUUUGGGAGAAAGUAAGGUAAGAGAACAAGAGUCUUUGCCUGGUAAUCCAGAGAAUUUCUCCCAGAUGCUGUCCUUGACCAUCAAGGUGGUACCCCUAAGAGUCUGCAAGAACUUCAGAGAACUACAGUGUUAUUGGGUUCGGGGUAAUCCCUCCCCCAGCUCCAGGCAGCUCAGCACAGAGAGAGAGACUGUUUGUGUUUAAAGAAUGUAAGGGAAGAGAACAAGAGUUUCUGCCUGGUAAUCCAGGGAAUUCCCUUGGAUCUUACCCAUGAACACCAAGGUGGUACCUCUACAAGUCAGCAAGAACCACAGCGUUACUAGGCUUGAGGUGCCCCCUAAAGCAGAUACAGCUUAGAUCACAGUAGUGAAGUCCUUUGAAAUACCUGGAAAGCCUUCCCAAGAAGGACAAGUACAAACAAGCCCAGACACUGGAGACUGAUAAUAUCCAACUCUUCAAUGCCCAGAGAGUGAAGAAUAUCUAUAGCAUCAGCACCAUCCAGGAAAACAUGACCUCACCAAAUGAACUAAAGAAACCACCAGAGACCAGUCCUAGAGAAACAGACAUAUGAGACCUUUCAGACAGAAUUCAAAAUAGCCAUGUUGAAGAAACUCAAAGAAAUUCAAGAUAAUGGAAAGAAGGAAUUCAGAAUUCUAUCAGAUAAACUUAACAAAUAAAUCGAACUUGAACGUGGGAGGCAGCGGUUGCAGUGAGCUGAGAUUGCGCCACUGCGCUCCAGCCUGGUGACAGAGCAAGACUCCAUCUCAA